AUGGCUGGAUUUGAUGAAUCGAUGGGACUGCCUUAUGGGCCUUACAUAAACAAUGAGAUGCCUUCUGUUGGUUCUUAUGAGCCACAUCUUCCUUUAGACGCAUCAAGCACCCUACAUGUUGAAGUAAGGCUGGUCAACACAGGAUAUAAUAAUCGACAUGUAAUAGCUUAUGUUGACUUUGAAACUCCUGCCCAAGCCUUCUCUGCCAUGAAGUCUCUGCAAGGUUAUUUGUUUGACAUGCAUGACCGAUACUCAGUCAAAUUGGACCUCCAGUUCCUUUUUGGUCCGUCCAAGGCUUUACCUGAUACACUAUGA
Molecule: ribosomal RNA, 315 nt
Filed under: Triticum aestivum (bread wheat)
Lineage: Eukaryota; Viridiplantae; Streptophyta; Magnoliopsida; Poales; Poaceae
Description: partial small subunit ribosomal RNA
Source: RNAcentral